RNAcentral lists this ribosomal RNA (508 nucleotides) under uncultured bacterium. RNAcentral describes it as "partial 16S ribosomal RNA". It matches the Rfam family "Bacterial small subunit ribosomal RNA", at positions 28 to 507 of the family's 1533-position model. The record is from RNAcentral.
GACGAACGCUGGCGGCGUGCCUAAUACAUGCAAGUCGAACGCUUCUUUCCUCCCGAGUGCUUGCACUCAAUUGGAAAGAGGAGUGGCGGACGGGUGAGUAACACGUGGAUAACCUACCCAUCAGAGGGGGAUAACACUUGGAAACAGGUGCUAAUACCGCAUAACAGUUUAUGCCGCAUGGCAUAAGAGUGAAAGGCGCUUUCGGGUGUCGCUGAUGGAUGGACCCGCGGUGCAUUAGCUAGUUGGUGAGGUAACGGCUCACCAAGGCCACGAUGCAUAGCCGACCUGAGAGGGUGAUCGGCCACACUGGGACUGAGACACGGCCCAGACUCCUACGGGAGGCAGCAGUAGGGAAUCUUCGGCAAUGGACGAAAGUCUGACCGAGCAACGCCGCGUGAGUGAAGAAGGUUUUCGGAUCGUAAAACUCUGUUGUUAGAGAAGAACAAGGACGUUAGUAACUGAACGUCCCCUGACGGUAUCUAACCAGAAAGCCACGGCUAACUACGUG